This 492-nucleotide ribosomal RNA is filed under the name uncultured bacterium. RNAcentral describes it as "partial 16S ribosomal RNA". It matches the Rfam family "Bacterial small subunit ribosomal RNA", at positions 28 to 507 of the family's 1533-position model. The record is from RNAcentral.
GAUGAACGCUAGCUACAGGCUUAACACAUGCAAGUCGAGGGGAAACGGCAUUACGUGCUUGCACUUUUUGGACGUCGACCGGCGCACGGGUGAGUAACGCGUAUCCAACCUUCCCAUGACUAAGGGAUAACCUGCCGACAGGCAGACUAAUACCUUCUGGUCUUCACUGACGGCAUCAGAUGUGAAGUAAAGAUUUAUCGGUUAUGGCUGGGGAUGCGUCUGAUUGGCUUGUUGGCGGGGUACCGGCCCACCAAGGCAACGAUCAGUAGGGGUUCUGAGAGGAAGGUCCCCCAGAGUGGAACUGAGACACGGGCCAAAGUGCUACGGGAGGGAGCAGUGAGGAAGACAGGUGAGGGGACGAGAGCCUGAAGCAGCAAAGUAGCGUGCAGGAUGGCGGCCCUAGGGAUGGUAAACUGCUGUUGUAUGAGGAUAAAGUGAAGCACAGGUGAUUGUUUGAAGGUACCAGAAGAAUAAGCACCGGCUAAUUCCGUG